RNAcentral lists this long non-coding RNA (655 nucleotides) under Chinchilla lanigera (long-tailed chinchilla). RNAcentral describes it as "lncRNA (ENSCLAG00000026993.1)". The record is from RNAcentral. Lineage: Eukaryota; Metazoa; Chordata; Mammalia; Rodentia; Chinchillidae.
AUCUCAGAACCUCCGGGGUGCUGCUGGGGCGCCCCUGCUCCCCAGCCUUCGGGCGUGCAAAGCUCAAUGUCCUCCCUCUUCCCUACCUCCUCCUCCAGCAGAUAAGGCCAGCAGGAGGCUCAGCUCAGCCCCUGGGCUCCUGUCCCUGCCACGGAGCGGCAGAGCAGUGGCAUCGUUUUGGUGCCACAUUGAAGGUGCCCCAGCCCUGCCUGCCAGCCCAGCGUGGGUCACCGUGUGUGCUCUCCACCUCCGCUCUCUCCAUUUGGAACUUGGGAACGGGAAAGAGGUGUUAUGUAUUUGAAACAACUGUUCAUAAGAUCAAGAAGCCAUCAGCUCUCCAGGCUGGAGGAGCAGCCCGGGUCACAAGACACAUCAUAUGCCCAGCAGUCAGCAGACGGGUGGGCCUGCCGUUAACAUUAUCAGCACACAAUGGUGGACCCAUAGCUAGUCAAGCACAGGCCUCCUCCUGUGACAGAUGACAAAUGGUACUGCCAGGGUGAAGGGCAGUGAUGGGGUCUAAGCUAGUGCGAAGCUAAUCAAGCUGAGGAACAAGAAGCCUCCAGUACUGGGUUCAAGCGGUCAAGCAUGUCACAAAAUUUGCAAAGGAAGAUAUUUGAAUAAUGACUAUACGGUCAUCUCCUCUUUCAAUUUUGAC